This 324-nucleotide unclassified non-coding RNA is filed under the name soil metagenome. RNAcentral describes it as "partial contains 5.8S ribosomal RNA, internal transcribed spacer 2, and large subunit ribosomal RNA". The stretch from base 1 to 120 matches the Rfam family "5.8S ribosomal RNA", at positions 35 to 154 of the family's 154-position model. The record is from RNAcentral.
GAUGAAGAACGCAGCGAAAUGCGAUAAGUAGUGUGAAUUGCAGAAUUCAGUGAAUCAUCGAAUCUUUGAACGCACAUUGCGCCCCUUGGUAUUCCAUGGGGCAUGCCUGUUCGAGCGUCAUUUGUACCUUCAAGCUUUGCUUGGUGUUGGGUGUUUGUCCCUCGGGACUCGCCUUAAAGUCAUUGGCAGCCAGUGUUUUGGUUUUGAAGCGCAGCACAAGUCGCGAUUCAAGGCUACCCGCCCGCUUCCACAAGCCUUUUUCACUUUUGACCUCGGAUCAGGUAGGGAUACCCGCUGAACUUAAGCAUAUCAAUAAGCGGAGGA